GUAAAAUAGGGCAAUUUUCUAGCUGUGUGUCCUUGGGAAAGUUACUUAACCUCUCUUUGCCUCUGAUGCUUAUCAUAUUUGUUUGUAUAAGGAUUAAAUGAAAUUAAAAAAAAAAAAAAAAAAGCUUGGUGCCUGGCAAAUUGUAAGCCGCUGAUCAAUGUUAAUUCCAUUUUAUGAUUGCAUGGCCAUUAUGCGGGCCUCCUCCAGAGCCCCCGACACACUGAAGCAGAGAGAGAGUUCUCUCCUCAGUCUUGUUUGUAUGCCUUCUGGACACAGUGACGACAUCCCAGCUAUUCUUGUUUUGGACUUGAGUUUUGGAGUCAGUCUAGCACGGCCUCUCUUGCUUGUCAGAGGUCUUAUAUAAGGAGACCACAUGUCUUGUCCCCUCUUCUCUCUCUUCCUGUGUAGAUGGGACAUCAUUAGAACUGAGAAGAUUAAACCACCCUUGAUAAUACAUACUGCCUGAGAAAGAAACUCAGUAAAUUACUUCGAGAUCAGGAAGCAGACUAAAAGGGAUUAAAUACCUGCAGAAGAUCAAUUUGCAAGCGAUGGAACUUUGAUUCAGUCCCGGUGGUCUGACUCCAGAACCAGAACUGGGGCUAGGGCAGGUCGCCUUAUCCAACCAGCAGCAAACCAGUCAGCAGCCUGAAGCAAAAUGGUGUGAGAACAACUUUCUAAUGACAGCCAUCCUAAAUGUCACAUGCUAUUUGCCCAGGACACCCUGGACCUGAUGUGGAGUCAUACUGUCAGGGGCUUGUCCCAUGGUAAGUUCUGAAGCUUCUUCUCCCAGGAGAGCUGUUGCAGUCACUGCUGGAAGGCAGGCCGGCCACCCUUGAGCUACACUGUCAAGUGACUUUGAAAACUAGCGCACGGGUCUUGUUUCCUUUCCUCACUUCUGGGUAAGAGCCCCCAAAGCUUGUCCCUGUGUUUCUGCUACUUGUGAGGUGGAAGGUUUUUCUAAGUUUGGUAAAGCCAAGUGCAGCCUUUAACAUUUGAAAGGCCGUCCGCUGGGCUUUAAGUCCCAAGUAAAGCUUCCUCAUCAAAGCCUUUAAUUUAUACAAUGGUUUGGCUAAGAGCCCAAAUCCAGGAAUCUGAGGGCAGCAAAAAAUCUGCCAUACCUAGGAAAGUACGGGGUUGUUUUUCUUUAGGUUGGGGUACAAGAUCUAAUAUAUAGCCUUUUUCCUGUCAUUAGAUGGGGUACGGUGACCUGGUGUUAACGCAUUUCCCAAAUAUUGUACUUUCUGUUUAUAUAUUUGCACCUUUUUAGGGGAGACGUGAUACCCUCUGUCUGCCAAGAAAUUAAGUAAAGUUAUAGAAUUGUUAUCAGACAUUUCUUUUGUGGGACUACAGAUUAAAAUAUCGUCCACAUAUUGAACUAUAUAGUCCCUUGAGGCAGGGAGAUAUCACCAAGACAUUAAAAAAAAAUUUUUAACAUUUAUUCAUCUUUGAGAGACAGAACACGAGCA
Long non-coding RNA from Herpailurus yagouaroundi (jaguarundi), 1466 nucleotides. RefSeq lists it as uncharacterized. Lineage: Eukaryota; Metazoa; Chordata; Mammalia; Carnivora; Felidae. The record is from RefSeq and is a predicted model, not a curated record. The transcript is spliced from 4 exons.